AUUGAACGCUGGCGGCAGGCCUAACACAUGCAAGUCGAACGGUAACAGGAAGCAGCUUGCUGCUUUGCUGACGAGUGGCGGACGGGUGAGUAAUGUCUGGGAAACUGCCUGAUGGAGGGGGAUAACUACUGGAAACGGUAGCUAAUACCGCAUAACGUCGCAAGACCAAAGAGGGGGACCUUCGGGCAUCUUGCCAUCGGAUGUGCCCAGAUGGGAUUAGCUAGUAGGUGGGGUAACGGCUCACCUAGGCGACGAUCCCUAGCUGGUCUGAGAGGAUGACCAACGACACUGGAUCAGGGACACGCUCCAGACUCGUACGCGUAGCAGCAGUGGGCAAAACUGCAGAACGGGCGCAAUCCUGCUGAAACAAUGCAGGGUGUAUGAAGAAGGCCUUCAGGUUGUAAACUACAUCCAGCGGGGAGGAAGGGAGUGAACUUAAUACGUUAAGUCAUUGACGUUACCCGGAGAAGGAACACCGGCUAAGUACGUG
Molecule: ribosomal RNA, 490 nt
Filed under: uncultured bacterium
Lineage: Bacteria
Description: partial 16S ribosomal RNA
Rfam family: Bacterial small subunit ribosomal RNA
Source: RNAcentral